Cyprinus carpio carpio is the source of this 920-nucleotide long non-coding RNA. Lineage: Eukaryota; Metazoa; Chordata; Actinopteri; Cypriniformes; Cyprinidae. The record is from Ensembl.
UGAAAGCAGUGCAAAGUACUGUGGUAUAUGAACUGUAUAGCCAAAUUUUGGUUGACAUAUUUAUUUAAUUAAAAUAGUUGGUUGUCUUUCAGUUCUUUUCAGUUUUAGUAAACUUGAGUGCUUAAUUACGGUCAUCCACUGACACAACAAACCAAAGCACCUGUGCUGGAUGAGAACAAAACAGUCAUGUGAUUAAUUGUGCCCUGAAAUAGGCUUCUUAGUAGAGAUGAGAAAAAGACAGACUUGAAAACGAUGGGAGACUUGGUACAGAACCUUUGGUACAUCCAUAAUGAAUUCCUCUGAGGAGACAUGAUGAAUGGAUUGUCCUGUGGCUUUUGUGCUAAUGUUCUGGAUGUUAAAUACUUAACAGAGUUCAGAUGCCGGCUGAGACGAUGGGCGAUGGGUCUCAUGACUCAUGGCUGGACAACUGAAAGAGGGAAACUGUGAAAUGACUUCAAGAUCCAAAGAAGAGAGCUCUGGAGAACCAUGUGCCGUUUCCGUGAAAUUCCUCUUGGAAUCCCUCUUCAGUCAUGCACUCUAAGUGAGGCUGGACUCAGGGCCGAGCACCUGUUCCAUCGUUUUUGCCUUCAGCAAUGAGAAUGACGGCAGAGGUCUGAGCACUUGUCAGGCGGUGAACGCUGCAGUGGAGGAGAUGGAUGUCAUGUUGGGGCCCAUGUGUUGGACAGGGAGCGAUAAUAAAGCGUAAUUCGAUGGUGGUGGAGCACUGAGUUGGGCCUGGAGCGGGUGAUGGAAAGCUCUGAGGCUGCUGCACGCAAUCCAGUGGACGGAGGAGACACUUCCUCAAUCCUUCUUUAGCUUCUUCGGAUGUGUGUGCAGAGAGCUGUGAUCCUAAUAAAGCCGUAUAUCACUGCAGUACACUUCUGCUUUCACUAACAAUAAAAAAGGUAUUUUGGCAUCAC